Molecule: long non-coding RNA, 1339 nt
Organism: Panicum virgatum (switchgrass)
Lineage: Eukaryota; Viridiplantae; Streptophyta; Magnoliopsida; Poales; Poaceae
Exons: 2
Source: RefSeq, a predicted model, not a curated record
AUUCAGCAGCAAUUGCAUUGCAAGAAUUUGAAAUAUUCAGGACGAAGCAAGGUGAGUUCUCUAGUGACAUUGCUAGGCGAAUGGCCAUUGACCGGAAAACUUCACCAGCUGCUUGGUGGGCUACAUUUGGGGGAGAUACACCAGUGUUGCAAAGGGUCGCCCGACGCUUGUUGUCGCAGUGUGCAGCCUCUAAUGGAUGUGAAAGGAACUGGAGCACAUUUGCUUACAUCCACACCAAACUGCGCAAUAGGUUGAGCCACCAGAAAUUGGACAAAUUGGUCUUUGUGAACUACAACCUCCGCUUGCGUCUGCAACGUGCUACUAGAGGGGUCGAUCCAUAUGACUAUGAUCCAGUUAGCAGUUUCAUGGAUCUUUCUUUGUACCGGCAGUCAUCAGCAAUUCAAGAUUGGAUGAAGCAAUCAAGGUCCAAUGGAGACCCAGCAUUUGAUGAAGACUCUGACUUCACUGACACUCCAUUGCCGAGCCAGAUGUUCACUGACAUAGGCUCUUCUCAUGGUCACGAUGAAGAUGUGGAGACAUGGGCCGAAGAAACAAUUGGGGACACACAUCUGGGAAAAAGGAAGACUAAGAUUGGUCCCGAAAUGAGAAAAGGAAGAAACCACGCACUGAGGAGGAGUUAGGUAGUGACGAUACCACACCUGAGCCUAGUGGUGGUGAGGACAUUGGUGAUGAUGAUGAUGAUGAUGAUGAUUCCAGUAGCAGUGAAGGUGAUGGCAAUGAUGGCAACGAAAGUGGUGGUUAUCGUAUAUCUCCUACUAUAAGGUUCACUGGGGAGGAGGACUUCACCCAUGCAACACAAGAUACAGAUCAUGGAGCACCUACUUCACAACGACAAACAACAUCGACACAUCGACAUGGUCGACAGGCCCCACUUGCAUAUGAUGAAGAUAGCUCCAACUCUGCCUCCAGUGGUCAGUACUACAACCCUUACAGUACUUCCCCCCCUGCAGGGGGCUUUCUGUGGCCACCACCAGGGGUGGUGAACCCGCCACUUCCGCAGGCAGUUGCAGCAUUGCCUUAUUUGGAUUAUCACGGCUACCUACCAUAUGGAGCUCCAUAGUUGCAAUAUCGCCCACCUACGUACAUGUAUUUGCCACCAACAGACGAGCCGUAUGAGGGACCACCGGGAGAGAGAUUUGAGGACUGAAGAAUGCAGAGAAUAUGCUACAUGGAUUAUUCUGGACUAUGUCUUUGCCUCUGUUGUAUCUUUGGAUUGUAAUAAUUCUAAGGGACUUUGGAUGUAUUGCGUUCUAUGUGUGGACUUUGGACAUGAGUUAUGUGUAAUAAUUCUAAUGGACUUUGGAUGUAUUACGUUGUA